This 324-nucleotide ribosomal RNA is filed under the name uncultured eukaryote. RNAcentral's name for it is "partial 18S ribosomal RNA". It matches the Rfam family "Eukaryotic small subunit ribosomal RNA", at positions 1470 to 1796 of the family's 1831-position model. The record is from RNAcentral.
CCCUUAGAUGUUCUGGGCCGCACGCGCGCUACACUGAUGCAUUCAACGAGUUUCUUCCUGGUCCGAGAGGAAUGGGUAACCUUUUGAAAGUGCAUCGUGAUAGGGAUAGACUAUUGCAAUUAUUGGUCUUCAACGAGGAAUUCCUAGUAGACGUAGUUCAUCAGACUGCAUCGAUUACGUCCCUGCCCUUUGUACACACCGCCCGUCGCUCCUACCGAUUGAAUGCUCAGGUGAGCCAUUCGGACGUUCAUCAUGCUGGUUUCCAGUUUUGAUGAAGGAAAGUCUUGCGAACCUUAUCAUUUAGAGGAAGGAGAAGUCGUAACA